GUGCUGCCCCUGAGGGAUGGGGAUGUGGCCAGAGCAUCCUCACACCUCUUUGUCCAUGUCUCUGCACCCCUAAAUCCCUAAAUCCCUGCAUCCUCACCCCUUAUCCCUUCACUCUGCAUCCCUGGAUCCCCAUCCCCACAUCCCCAUUCGCACAUGGCCAUUCCCUCCCCAUCUCUUCACCUGCAUCCCCUGCAUCUUUUCCAUCCUUCAAUCCCCACUUUCACGUUGCCAUCCCCAUUUCCUUCCUGCAUCCCCUGCAUCCCCUCCAACCCCUCCAUACCCACAUUCCCACCACUGCCUUGCCAUGCCUGACUAAUUCUAUCCUUCUUUCUCCAUCCCUCCAUCACCUUUACCACACGCCCAUUCCCACACUGCCACCUUUCAUCCCCAUCCCUCCAUCCCGGCCUCCCCUCCGUCCCCAUCCUCUCCAUUUCCACACUGCCAUUUCCCAUCCCUCCACCGCCAUUCCCACACUGCCAUUUCCCAUCCUUCCAUCCCCAUUCCCACACUCCCAUCCCCAUCCCUCCAUCCCCAUUCCCACAUUCCCAUCUCCCAUCCCACCGUCCCAUUCCCAAACUCCCAUCCCCAUCCCUCCAUCCCCAUCCUCUCCAUUCCCACACUGCCAUUUCCCAUCCCUCCAUCCCCAUUCCCACACUCCCAUCCCAUCCCUCCAUCCCCAUCCCCAUGCUGCCAUCUCUCAUCCCCAUCCCUCCAUCCCAAUCCUCUCCAUCACCAUUCCCACACUCCCAUCCCCAUCCCUCCAUCCCCAUUCCCACACUCCCAUCCCCAUCCCUCCAUCCCAUUCCCACAUUCCCAUCCCCAUCCCAUUCCCACAUUCCCAUCCCCAUCCCUCCAUCCCCAUCCCUCCAUCACCAUUCCCACACUGACAUCUCCCAUCCCUCCAUCCCCAUUCCCACACUCCCACCCCAUCCCUCCAUCCCCGUCUCCCGUUGCGGGGCCGUUCCCAGGCCUGGAGCUGGAGGCAUCCCCGGCCCAGCUGCAGACCAAGGCCUACGUGCGG
Molecule: long non-coding RNA, 1021 nt
Filed under: Zonotrichia albicollis (white-throated sparrow)
Lineage: Eukaryota; Metazoa; Chordata; Aves; Passeriformes; Passerellidae
Description: lncRNA (ENSZALG00000005067.1)
Source: RNAcentral